RNAcentral lists this ribosomal RNA (2934 nucleotides) under Triticum aestivum (bread wheat). RNAcentral describes it as "partial small subunit ribosomal RNA". The record is from RNAcentral. Lineage: Eukaryota; Viridiplantae; Streptophyta; Magnoliopsida; Poales; Poaceae.
AUGGAUGCCGGCGGUGGCGCUGCUCGCCCCGAAGCCCCUAGCGGCGAAGGCGCCAGGUUGGGGCAGUCGCAGAUGGAGUUUGACGGCCCGGUCGUGCUCAACCGAUCUGCCGAGCUCGAAUCAAGCGAUGCGAUGGAUAUCGAUGCGACCCCAGCGCAAGCUCCGAGCCAGAUGGUGCCGCCGCCCACGCAGUCUCCCGCUGCUACACUGACGGACACCGUUGUACAAGUGCAGAAGCAGCUGAAGCGGAAGAGGGCAUCCAAUGGCCCUGUGAUUGCUCCUGCAGAGAAGGAGGCUCUUGCUGACGGGUGCCGCCUGGAGCUCCAGGGCCUGUUCGAGUACUACAAGGAGGUUUCUGGGCACAAGAUGCAGCUCGAUGGUGGUGGAAAUCUGUCAACCAAUGCCAUGAUUGGGUGCUUGCUGGAGGAGAGCAAUCUUGGGCUAUCCAAGUUGGUGGAUGAGACAUUUGAGAAGCUCAAGGGAAUAGAGGGUGUCUCUGUGGCUUCGGUCCGCAGCUCCGUGCUACUCAUUGGGCAGAGGAUGAUGUACGGACAAUCUAGCCCUGAUGCUGAUGUGUUGGAAGAUGAAUCAGAGCUCUCUCUUUGGUGCUGGGAGGUAAGAGAUUUGAAGGUACUGCCUGUGAGAAUGCGUGGGUUUUUAAGUGCGCGGAGAACUGCCAGAAAGAAAAUCCAUGAGAGGAUCACUGCUCUCCAUUCAACUUUGUCAGCUCUGGAAUCUACAGGGGCUGAAAGUCAAGUAAAUGAACUUAGAAAAGUAUCAAUGAAGUUAAGCAAAGCACUAAACCUGGAAGGGAUUAGAUCAAUGGUGGACAGAGUGACACAAAAGAACAACAUUCAAAGGGGUGCCAAAGAUGUAGAAUCAGCAGAUCAGUCAAUGCAAGUGAUGCAAAAUAAUGAGGGAACUGUUGGCAGAGUAGAUGCUGUGAAUGGCUCUGAGCUGCCAAAUGGAAAUGAUCCUGCUAAUGAACAAGUAAUUCUGAAAAUGCAAAAACAAUCCCAGAAGGAAACAAAACGCCAGGAGAAAGAGGAACAUCAGAUGAUGAAACAGCAAAAGAAAAUGCAAGAAGAGGCACUGAGAGAACAAAAAAGACGUGAAAAGGAAGAAGCUGAAGUAAAGAAGCGACAAAAGAGGCAGGAAGAAGAAGCACUGAAAGAGCAGAAGCGCCGUGAAAAAGAAGAAGCUGAAAUGAGAAAACAAGAAAAGAAGCAGCAAGAGGAUGCUCUGAAAGAGCAGAAGCGCCGUGAAAAAGAAGAAGCUGAAAUGAGAAAACAGCAAAAGAAGCAGCAAGAGGAAGCUGAUAAAGAACAAAAGCGUCUUGAGAAGGAAGCCGCGCAACUCAAGAAACAACUGGCCAUUCAGAAGCAAGCUUCAUUAAUGCAGCGCCUUUUCAAAAGUAAUGACAGCGAAAAACCUAAAUCUGGAGAGAAUGACUCAGAUGUGCACACUGUUGAUCCAGGCACUACGAAAAAAGAGAUAUCAGCUGCUACAUCAAUAAUUGAUUCUUCCUUCUCUCUGAAAGAGAGCUGGACUUUGGAGUACCUUCAGAGGUUGCAGAUCACUGGUUGGCAAAAGUUAUCAAGCUAUAACAGGUCCUCCAGAUGGGGUAUCAGACACAAACCCAAGGAGGCAUUUAAAGAGCUGAAGCUUCAAAAAACCUCAGAUGACAUGAUCGAUGAAAUACUUUCUACUCCAAAUGAAGAUGCUUGUCACAAUUCAGGUCAAGAAAAUGAACCAGAUAAACUAGGAAAUGACAUUGAUAUGCUUCCAGCCAGUGAGGUGCAGUGUCAUGUCACCCGUAAUGAUAAUUCUCUGCCAACUAGAUUGAUAAAGAGAAAGCUUCUGCAAUUUGCCAAAAGUAACAGGCCAGCAUAUUAUGGGACUUGGAGUAAGAAAAGUGCUGUAAUUCGUCCAAAGUGUCCACUUAUGAUGGACCCUGAUCUUGAUUAUGAAAUUGACAGUGAUGAUGAAUGGGAGGAGGUGGAUCCUGGUGAGAGCCUUUCUGACUGUGAGAAGGACACUGAUGAGGUUAUGGAUGAAGAAGAUUCCAAGAUUACAGAUGAAGAAGAGGAAGAUAGCUUUGUCGUCCCUGAUGGUUACCUCUCGGAUAGUGAGGGUAUUCAGGUAGAAAGUCUAUUGGAUGAAAAGGCUGAUGAUGCCAGUAGUUUGCCAAUGAGCCAGUGUCCAGAAGUUGAGGAAUUCAGAACUUUACUACGCCAGCAAAAAGUGCUUAACACUUUGACUGAACAGGCUCUCCGCAAGAGUCAACCUCUAGUAAUAUCCAACUUAGCUCAUGAAAAGGCUGACUUAUUGACCGCCCAAGAUCUCAAGGGAAGUUCGAAGAUUGAGCAACUUUGUCUGCAAGUUCUUUCAAUGCGGAUCUGUCCAGGGGGUGGAGUUGUUGAUGUGCCAGCCAUUGACAGUUCAUCUGCUGCUUCUGAAGAAACCAACCAGUCGAAUGCAAAAAGUAGCCCUGCAGCUGCAUCCUCUGUACUGGAUACAGACCUGCAAGAAAUUGUUCAGGUGAUACAGUCAAGUCGAGAUGGUAUCCACAAGCUGGUGGAAUUGCUGCACCAGAAAUUUCCGACUGUAAAAAAGACUCAACUGAACCAUAAAGUGAGGGAGAUAUCUGACUUUGUUGAUAACCGCUGGCAGGUUAAGAAAGAGGUUCUCGACAAGCUUGGCUUAACUUCCUCACCACCUGUGGAUCGUCCCCAGAAGACGAAAGCAGUAGCCGAACGUCCCUCUAAGACGAAAGGAAUAGGCAUGUACUUCUCAAAGCGGUGUUUACCUCCAGAAGAGGCUGUCAACGCCCUUGCAUCUUCACCUGAGCUGCGCUUGAAACCGAGAACUGUUCAAGGCAGCAAUGGUGUUGCUGGUGCUCCUCAGGUUGAUCUGUUCCCCUCGCAGAAGUGA